Molecule: unclassified non-coding RNA, 485 nt
Filed under: 'Prunus salicina' phytoplasma PLKH3
Lineage: Bacteria; Bacillati; Mycoplasmatota; Mollicutes; Acholeplasmatales; Acholeplasmataceae
Description: partial contains 16S ribosomal RNA, 16S-23S ribosomal RNA intergenic spacer, and 23S ribosomal RNA
Rfam family: Bacterial small subunit ribosomal RNA (bases 1-294)
Source: RNAcentral
AGCUGGACCGCAAGUUUUUGCGCUACAGCUGCACAAAAACAGUCUCAGUUCGGAUUGAAGUCUGCAACUCGACUUCAUGAAGUUGGAAUCGCUAGUAAUCGCGAAUCAGCAUGUCGCGGUGAAUACGUUCUCGGGGUUUGUACACACCGCCCGUCAAACCACGAAAGUUGGCAAUACCCAAAGCCGGUGGCCUAACUUCGCAAGAAGAGGGAACCGUCUAAGGUAGGGUCGAUGAUUGGGGUUAAGUCGUAACAAGGUAUCCCUACCGGAAGGUGGGGAUGGAUCACCUCCUUUCUAAGGAAACAAUUAUCAUCUUCAGUUUUGAGAGACUUAAGAAAGUUUUUCAUUGUAACUUGCUUGCAAAUUGUAUUUGCAACAUUUUAAUCUUUUUAAGAUUAAGGGCCUAUAGCUCAGUUGGUUAGAGCACACGCCUGAUAAGCGUGAGGUCGGUGGUUCGAGUCCAUUUAGGCCCACCAAACCACAAA